Molecule: ribosomal RNA, 833 nt
Filed under: uncultured Bacteroidota bacterium
Lineage: Bacteria; Pseudomonadati; Bacteroidota
Description: bacterial SSU rRNA
Rfam family: Bacterial small subunit ribosomal RNA
Source: RNAcentral
UAAGUUUUGUAGCAAUACGAAACCAAGAGUGACGUACGGGUGCGUAACACGUAUGCAACCUACCCAUAACAGGAGGAUAGCUCCCCGAAAGGGGAAUUAACCCUUCAUAGUAUAGUUGAGUGGCAUCAUUUGACUAUUAAAACUCCGGUGGUUAUGGAUGGGCAUGCGUCUGAUUAGCUAGUUGGCGGUGUAAUGGACCACCAAGGCAAUGAUCAGUAGGGGAACUGAGAGGUUGAUCCCCCACACUGGCACUGAGAUACGGGCCAGACUCCUACGGGAGGCAGCAGUAGGGAAUAUUGGUCAAUGGAUGCAAGUCUGAACCAGCCAUGCCGCGUGCAGGAAGAAGGCCCUAUGGGUUGUAAACUGCUUUUGCCAGGGGAUAAAAUUUCCUUGCGAGGAAAAUUGAAGGUACCUGGUGAAUAAGCCACGGCUAACUACGUGCCAGCAGCCGCGGUAAUACGUAGGUGGCAAGCGUUGUCCGGAUUUAUUGGGUUUAAAGGGUGCGUAGGCGGUCCUAUAAGUCAGUGCUGAAAUAUCCCGGCUUAACCGGGAGGGUGGCCUUGAUACUGUGGGACUUGAGUAAAGUUGAGGUUGGCGGAAUUGACGGUGUAGCGGUGAAAUGCUUAGAUAUCGUCAAGAACACCUAUUGCGAAGGCAGCUAACUAAGCUUUAACUGACGCUGAGGCACGAAAGUGUGGGGAUCAAACAGGAUUAGAUACCCUGGUAGUCCACACUGUAAACGUUGAUGACUCGCUGUUGGCGAUACACUGCCAGCGGCUUAGCGAAAGCGAUAAGUCAUCCACCUGGGGAGUACGCCGGCAACGGUGAAACUC